RNAcentral lists this ribosomal RNA (607 nucleotides) under Pleurostoma richardsiae. RNAcentral describes it as "LSU rRNA". It matches the Rfam family "Eukaryotic large subunit ribosomal RNA", at positions 37 to 669 of the family's 3401-position model. Lineage: Eukaryota; Fungi; Ascomycota; Sordariomycetes; Calosphaeriales; Pleurostomataceae. The record is from RNAcentral.
UGCAUAUCAAAAAGCGGAGGAAAAGAAACCAACAGGGAUUGCCCCAGUAACGGCGAGUGAAGCGGCAACAGCUCAAAUUUGAAAUCUGGCCUCGGCCCGAGUUGUAAUUUGCAGAGGAUGCUUCUGGCGCGGCGCCUUCCGAGUUCCCUGGAACGGGACGCCACAGAGGGUGAGAGCCCCGUAUGGUCGGACGCCAAGCCAGUGUGAAGCUCCUUCGAAGAGUCGAGUAGUUUGGGAAUGCUGCUCUAAGCGGGAGGUAUACGUCUUCUAAAGCUAAAUACCGGCCAGAGACCGAUAGCGCACAAGUAGAGUGAUCGAAAGAUGAAAAGCACCUUGAAAAGGGGGUUAAACAGUACGUGAAAUUGUUGAAAGGGAAGCGCCUGUGACCAGACUUGCGCCGGGCGGAUCAUCCAGCGUUCUCGCUGGUGCGCUCCGCCCGGCUCAGGCCAGCAUCGGUUCUGGCGGGGGGAUAAAGGCGGCGGGAACGUGGCUCCCCCGGGAGUGUUAUAGCCCGCCGUGCAAUGCCCCCGCUGGGACCGAGGUUCGCGCAUCUGCAAGGAUGCUGGCGUAAUGGUCACCAGCGACCCGUCUUGAAACAACGGACCAA